RNAcentral lists this ribosomal RNA (119 nucleotides) under Pteropus alecto (black flying fox). The record is from RNAcentral. Lineage: Eukaryota; Metazoa; Chordata; Mammalia; Chiroptera; Pteropodidae. RNAcentral also lists the same sequence under 1 other name.
GUCUAUGGCCAUGCCACCCUGAAUGUGUCUGAUAUUGUCUGAUUUCAGAAGCUAAGCAUAGUCGGGCCUGGUUAGUACUUGGAUGGGAGACCACCUUGGAAUACCAGGUGCUGUAGACG